CAGUUGAAAUCUAGAAAAAUCAAGGUUUCAAUUGAUUUCAAUUGGUUACUUCGGUAGUCUCGUUUGUCAAAAUCCUUUUUGGAAAUUCUUCCAGGAUUUGAGAAUAUUGAAUUAAAUAAAAAAAGGAUCUAUAAAUAUAAAAACGUUACUAAAAAAUGGUUCCAGGUUUAAUAAUAAACCUUUAUUCGUACCAGGUCAUGAUAAAGUUUUAUUAAGUAAUAUAUAUUCUGCGGAAUCGUUAUUAUCUGUUUUAGCUGUUGCUAUGGCAGAAAGUAAACACUACCGUCAAUUUUUACCCAACAUAAUAAAUAAAACUACUAAAUUUGUAUCAGAAAUGAUUGGUAAUAGAUUCACUAAAGAGAUCUACAAAAAUAGAAUUUAUUUGCUGGUUCUUAAUUUCAUAAAUCGAAAAAAACAGUUGAUUAGAUAUAUUAUUUUAUUUGAUAAAGAAAACACAGCAGCUUCUAUGUGUCAACAAUUGUCUUCAUUUCAACGUAUUCAGUGAUUCUACAAAUAUUUACAACAAUUCAAUAGUCACUGCUUUUGUUUGAGGUCAAAUGAUAUUUGGGAAUGUUACGAUCACACAAAAUAUCAAAUUUCCAGGAAAAAUGAAAAACGAAAAGUAAAUGUACAGAAAAAUUCUUAAAUUAAAAGUAUGGAAAUUUGAAAUUUGUUUAUAGUCAAAAUAAACGAUGAGUGUACAUUAAUCAUGAAAAA
Long non-coding RNA from Aphis gossypii (cotton aphid), 717 nucleotides. RefSeq lists it as uncharacterized. Lineage: Eukaryota; Metazoa; Arthropoda; Insecta; Hemiptera; Aphididae. The record is from RefSeq and is a predicted model, not a curated record. The transcript has 2 exons.